This is a long non-coding RNA of Pipra filicauda (Wire-tailed manakin), 1738 nucleotides long. RefSeq lists it as uncharacterized. Lineage: Eukaryota; Metazoa; Chordata; Aves; Passeriformes; Pipridae. The transcript has 2 exons. The record is from RefSeq and is a predicted model, not a curated record.
CUCGCCCACAGCCCCUCGGCUCGGCGGCUCCGGGGCUCCCGGAGACUGCCCGGUCGCACCGCCCGGGUGGCCGCCCCCCGCCGGCAGAACCCCCCCUGCCCCACCGCAGGCCUUGGGCAGCUCGGGCCUCACGCACGGGCCUCGCCGCGGCCUUGGCGGUUCCCGCCCGGCUGUCCCGGCACCUGCCUUGUGCCCGGCCGUGUGGAUGAGCCGUGCAGACCCUAUUUCCCGCUGCGGCUCAUUUCCUUCCCGGGGGCAGGGACCGAGCUGGCGCUGCUCCGCCGGGGGUGACGCAGCUGUGGCACCUCCGCCCAGCACCGAGCGGGGCUGUAACCCGGCCUGGGCACCGCUGGAUAACCCGGCCUGGGCACCGCUGGAUAACCCGGUCUGGCACCGCUGGAUAACCCGGCCUGGGCACCGCUGUAUAACCCGACCUGGCACCGCUGUAUAACCCGGCCUGGGCACCCCUGUAUAAUCAGACCCUGAACACCCCUGUAACCCAGCUCUGGGCACCACUGUAUAAUCCAACCCUCGACACCCCUGUAUAAUCCGACCCUGGGCACCCCUGUAUAACCCCACCCUGGGCACCCCUGGAUAAUCUGACCCUGGGUACCCCUGCCCGUGCUGCAGGAGCGUUGGUUUGGUGCUCUUUGCACCUCGCUGGCACGUCUUGGACCCCGCUGGCAGCUGAGUGGACGUGCACGGCCUCUGCACAAAGUGUCUUUGAGAAAACGCGCGACAGGUUCCAGGUUUGACAUGUGGCCAUCAAAGCGACACAUCCACAAUGCGGCCUCUUGGAAACUGUCGCUGUUCUGGAACGCUCAAAGAGCACCGAGAUCAUAAAAGAUAUUUUUCAUCUUCAGUUACUGAUCUGUUCCAUUUUUUUUUUCCUAUGGAUUUUGUGGACUUGAACCACAGGGGUUCCUAUUUUUCUUUAAGAUUUAAAAACUUUGACAAGAACAAAUGUCCUCCUGUGAAGUUCGACCAAAAACAUGAACAGGCCACAGUCACUGGCAGAAACAGCUACAAUCCCUCACACUACAUAUAUCAGCAAUGAAAUGAUCCUGCCCCAGUAUAUGAGCCCUUCUAGCAAGAAAAUCACUGCCAGCCUCCCUAUAUUUGUAUAGUUAGUAGUGUUUGUAUAGUUAGUGCCUUUCGGAAGCAAGCUCUCAUAUCUGAAAUGUUAUAAACCGGUUUCUGUUUAUUUAUAGCUUUUACCAGAGAGUCAAACGGAGGAGAAUAAAUAACAGAAAAGAAUAAUCGGGGAAAAGUUUGAGAGAACAGAACGUUUUUAAAGAUCUGACAAAUCUGAGAGACAAAGAAGCAUUCUCCAUCUCAUGACGUGUCCCGUGACUCCCCGCCCCACGGGAGGUACUAGGCGUUCCCACCUGAGCCCGAAUGUAUGUAACUCGUGAGAUCUUUGAGUUUUGAGGGGAGGAGGGGGCUUCCCCCAACCGAUCAAGACCAACACUUGGACAGGACUGCGACCACCAUCUUCAACCAACAGAACAUUGAAGGUGCAACUACCAAGUUUCAUCGCUGGAUCCAGCGAGUGCUGACAACAUAUAUCUUUCCAUUUUUAUCCUUUCUUUCUCUUCCUUAUAAAUUUCCUUAAGUGUUACUUUUAUGCUUUAAUAUUGCUGUAUUACUUUAGAUGAUAAGAAGCAAAACGGCUACACACCUGUUUUCCUUUGAAACAAAACUGCUCUAAAAUAAACCCUACAUAUAUAUUUCCAAA